UGGAGUCCAUCCGUCAUGAAGAAUCUAGUCGACGCUGGUGGGGGUUUAUCCGUCAGCAAAACUUGGGAGUGUUGCGGAGGCUCGGCCACCAGAGAGGUUCGGAGAGAUGUCACCGAAGGUCGGAAGUCAGUAGAAUCCCUGGAGGGUCAUUCCUGUCAUGAACUUCGGCUGGGGGGUAUUUUAUACCCAACAAGUAUGAUCUCUUAUACAGCUUGUCCUCAUAGAGGAUGUACCGGGAGGCUUGAUUUCUGAGCUUCCGGGCUUCUUUUGCAUCAUGAGGGAGAACCCCAUCCCUGAGAUAUGCCACCAGCGGGUCGAUCCAACUGGGCUCAUGAUCAAUUUCCAUCACGGGCCGCGAUUCCUUUGUACUUGGACACUUCAGAACUUCAAAAAGAACACCCUUGAGCAACUCAGCUGGAGCCAGCGUAGCUAGCUUGGAGAG
RNAcentral lists this long non-coding RNA (442 nucleotides) under Elaeis guineensis (African oil palm). RNAcentral's name for it is "long non-coding RNA (EGUI_LNC062019)". Lineage: Eukaryota; Viridiplantae; Streptophyta; Magnoliopsida; Arecales; Arecaceae. The record is from RNAcentral.